This is a long non-coding RNA of Strigops habroptila (Kakapo), 3318 nucleotides long. RefSeq lists it as uncharacterized. The transcript has 4 exons. NCBI's taxonomy places the organism in Eukaryota, Metazoa, Chordata, Aves, Psittaciformes, Psittacidae. The record is from RefSeq and is a predicted model, not a curated record.
CCACCUCGUUAGCUAAUCAGUAAAAAGACCACUGAGCUCAAUGUGCAGAUUCUAGGCAAAGACAAGGGAAGUGUUUUCGGACCUUUGAAUUUCAGUGACUGGACAUUACAGUUUUGAAGAAAACCGAGCACUGCCAUCUUUUGUUGGAAGAGACUAACUGCAGCUUUCAAAUGUCAAUAGCUGGAUCAGUUCUGAUUUGGACGCACUACUUUCUGUUGGAAGGGUUGUUUACCACGUAGACAGAUGUUCUUUCUUACUAAACACAAGAAGGAAUAUUUUCUGUAUUUGGUGAACAUUUUCCGAGGGAAAAGACUUCAUACAGAUUGCCACCUGGAAGUUCAAGAUGUUGAAAAUGCUUAUGACAGAGGAAAAGGAGUGAAUAUGCCAGAUGAUGGAAGGAUCCUCAUUAAUUGUCAUCAAUGCUAUUUGUGCCUUCUACAAGCCCGAGGCUAAACAGAUCAGUAUCACUGGUGGCUUCGGCAAGUCCCUGAGUAACCUGCUCUGUGGACUUCCACUGGAAUUAGGAUCGGUACAUCCAAAGGCAUGUUACGUUCUGUAAAAUUCAAGGAAGCUUCAAGAUGCUGGCCUGCUGUGACACUUUAUAAAAUAACUCUCUGAAAACAUUUAGUCAAAUGUGCAGUGAAGUACAAGUCAGAACACAGCACUGCUGCUUGCAGUGUGACAGGCGUCAUAGUCUGCCAUAUUUAUUUCUCCAAAUCUCUAAAGAAUAAGAUGGCUUGUCCCAUUUACAGUUGUUGAUGUAAGUAGGGCACAAAUACUUAACAGUAUUUCCAUAUUAAGAAAGAUACCUCUUAACUUGCUAGGAAAAGAAAAAUGAUUUAACAAUAUAUGGAUGCAGAAUUCAGUCUAAUGUUUUCUUGCUCUUGAAUUCUGUUAUCUUGGGUUCAAGAGGACAAAUACAACCUCAAACAGACAAAUAUUGCUGAAAUGGAGAAAAUUCAGGGAUUUGUUGAGUUUGUUUUUAUAAAUAAAUAAAUUUACCAUUACAUGGUAGGGGGGAUGGAAAUGAAAUCAAGGGUCGAUUCCUACAGUUGUAAUCUGAAGUUCAGAACAUAUCUAAAAUGAACAUAUUUUGCCAGAGCAAAAAGAUGGCUAGUCAACCAACACAAAACCGCCAACAGAAUUACAGACUGGUGUUUGUGGCACUGUGAAGAGUAUUCUCUUCCUGUUUAAGAAAUAUUUAUAUACUUCAAAAUUAAACAAGUAUAACCUGACACAUUGAAAUAUCAUAAGUUUUCACUAGUUUAAGAAAAAAAAGCCACACCAAACAUUAAAAAUAAAUAUCACUUUAAUAUCAUUGCAGUGCUAUUAAAAAUCAGAGUAUAAAAUUUCAUGCUCAUAUCAUUGAAUAGUUUGGGUUGGAAAGGACCUUAAAGAUCAUCUAGUUCCAAUCCCCUGCCAUGUUGAACUUCUAUUUAACUAUACCCCCAAAUCCUUCUCCCCAGGGCUGCUCUCAGUCCAUUCUCCUCUCAGCCUGCAUUUGUGCUUGCAGAAGAUGACGAACAGGAACACAUAUUCUAUACCACCUUAAAAAUCUACUUGUCUCUUCUUAUAAAUUAUGCCAUUUUUCAUACCUGCAUACUUGUGAAGACCAUGGUGUGUUAGAGGUCUGUGUAAAUGUCACAUAUCAAUUUCCAAUCAUCUUCCUAUAUAGAAAAUGUACUUCUGUAAUAUUCUCUAAGAAACACAACUGUCUUUGGCUGUACACUGACAUUGUUAGCAAAGUCCUUUACGACAAUAGAGUACAUGCUGUAAUUUUCCCCAGAGCUGAAAACUCUUUCAAAUGAACAUGAGUCAGGCAGUACUUUCGGGAAUAAAGUCGCAAAGUUGUAAAUGCUGCUUACCAUCCCCAUGAAUGCUGCCUUUUGGAAGCAGUACAUCAAGUGUCAGACACAAUGUGAACUCUAGAUUGUUGGAGUACCUGUUAACAUAGCGAUAUUUUCAAAGUUAUCAUUGUCUUGCUAACUUUGAAGAGCAACAGCUAUUUAGGUUGGCAAAUGAAACAAGGGUUGCACAAACCAAACACAUGACAUUGAUUAUGACUUGCUGAAUGAUGUAAAUAUGGGUCCAGAUUCAAAGCUCAUUGGCACUUUUUGAUCCAGGAUAAUUUUAUAUGAAAUACUGAUUAUUCACAAUCUAACACCAGCCUGUUUAUUGGAGAAACACUAACAAUAACUAGCUUAGUUUUAAGCACUCUGGUGAUAGUUCUGAGAGAUCUUUUAAACUUAAAGACACAUGCUCAGCUUUUCUAUCUCCUACUAGGAGCCUGCCCUACUAGAAUUGUGUCCUCUGGAAGUCUAGCCAUGUGGUAGGGGUCAAUAUAAUUACUUUAGUAAUGAAAUACUUAUUAGAAGCAAGAGAAAGCACAAGGUGACACAAAAAGAAUCAAAUAAAUCUGAAUUCAACAUGAAUCAUUUACUUCUUUCUGCAAAUAUUACUACCUUUCUAGGAGAAGCUUUCUUCUUAUUGAUGAUGAUAUCGCUGCUGUUUAUUUCAUGCAGGCUUCACAAAGGUGUGUCUUGUAGGGGCAGGUGCUGUCUCAGAUUGCUGAUAGUUUUCCUAGUUUUUGUCAAUAUUGAACUUAAAAAAAAAAAAGUUGUACAUUAAUAUUUUCAGAAUUGUCAUGUUUCAAAUGAAUAUUCAGAGUAUUUCACUGUGUGACCAGAUUAAUAGUUCAUAGAAAUAAACUUGUUGAAGCAGCACUCUAUUUUCAUAGGCUGGGUGAAUAUAUGGAGUUGAUUUAUAACAAAUGUUCUAAGUAACUUUUUUUAAAGGGCUUGAGACAAAGCUGGGAUUUCCAAAGCUGCAUAUGGUUAAAGUAUUCAAAAUCUCUUGUCCUGUAUGUCCUUAUGCCUUACAUAGUAGUUCUAGUCUGUGUUUAAUGAAUGAUACACGAAGGGCUUUUAGGAAGUUGUGCUGUAGGGAAAGACUUUAUUCUGAGUCAUGAGCAGUGCUGAACUGUAGCCUCAUUAAUUUGAUUAAAAGCAUGGCUCAUUAUAGCCCAGCUGGUUAUGCAAUUUUUAAAUAAUACAUAGUUUUCCUGACAUCUCAUUAAUUGAAGUUAUUAUGCAUUUUAUAUAUUUUUAUGACUCUUUGAUCUAAACUGUUGUGUUAUCCUGCUGUUUACCAUCAUCAAAUUUGCCACUGGCCAUGCAUGUGCAACACCUGAAUGUUUGCCACAUAAUCCUUCUGAUGCUUACCAGAUAUUUAGUUGCGUUUUUGGCUUUUUGGUAUGGUUUGGAAUUAUGAAUCACUAGAAAGAUGAAUAUAUUGCAUCCAUUUUGAAAAAUAAUUAUA